Molecule: ribosomal RNA, 457 nt
Filed under: Staphylococcus aureus
Lineage: Bacteria; Bacillati; Bacillota; Bacilli; Caryophanales; Staphylococcaceae
Description: bacterial SSU rRNA
Rfam family: Bacterial small subunit ribosomal RNA
Source: RNAcentral
UAUAGAUGGAUCCGCGCUGCAUUAGCUAGUUGGUAAGGUAACGGCUUACCAAGGCAACGAUGCAUAGCCGACCUGAGAGGGUGAUCGGCCACACUGGAACUGAGACACGGUCCAGACUCCUACGGGAGGCAGCAGUAGGGAAUCUUCCGCAAUGGGCGAAAGCCUGACGGAGCAACGCCGCGUGAGUGAUGAAGGUCUUCGGAUCGUAAAACUCUGUUAUUAGGGAAGAACAUAUGUGUAAGUAACUGUGCACAUCUUGACGGUACCUAAUCAGAAAGCCACGGCUAACUACGUGCCAGCAGCCGCGGUAAUACGUAGGUGGCAAGCGUUAUCCGGAAUUAUUGGGCGUAAAGCGCGCGUAGGCGGUUUUUUAAGUCUGAUGUGAAAGCCCACGGCUCAACCGUGGAGGGUCAUUGGAAACUGGAAAACUUGAGUGCAGAAGAGGAAAGUGGAAUUC